This is a non-coding RNA of Lentinula edodes (shiitake mushroom), 100 nucleotides long. The record is from the annotation of a RefSeq genome assembly. Lineage: Eukaryota; Fungi; Basidiomycota; Agaricomycetes; Agaricales; Omphalotaceae.
UCCGACGUGGUGUAGUGGCUAACAUUAUCGCCUCUCAUACAUAGGUGAAGCAUGUGUAACUAAAGCGCGAUAGCCCGGGGUUCGAUUCCCCGCGUCGGAA